This 207-nucleotide ribosomal RNA is filed under the name uncultured bacterium. RNAcentral describes it as "partial 16S ribosomal RNA". It matches the Rfam family "Bacterial small subunit ribosomal RNA", at positions 568 to 774 of the family's 1533-position model. The record is from RNAcentral.
UGUGUAGACGGCAUAUUAAGUUUGUUGUUAAAUCUUCCGGCCUAACCGGAAAUCUGCAAUGAAAACUGAUAAGCUAGAGGAUGAGAGAGAGGAGUGGAAUUCCCGGAGUAGCGGUAAAAUGCGUAGAUCUCGGGAGGAACACCAAUGGCGAAGGCAGCUCCUUGGCUCAUUUCUGACGUUGAGACACGAAAGCGUGGGUAGCAAACA